GACGAACGCUGGCGCCGUGUUCUAAUACAUGCAAGUCGAGCGAGCUUGCCUAGAUGAUUUUAGUGCUUGCACUAAAUGAAACUAGAUACAAGCGAGCGGCGGACGGGUGAGUAACACGUGGGUAACCUGCCCAAGAGACUGGGAUAACACCUGGAAACAGAUGCUAAUACCGGAUAACAACACUAGACGCAUGUCUAGAGUUUGAAAGAUGGUUCUGCUAUCACUCUUGGAUGGACCUGCGGUGCAUUAGCUAGUUGGUAAGGUAACGGCUUACCAAGGCAAUGAUGCAUAGCCGAGUUGAGAGACUGAUCGGCCACAUUGGGACUGAGACACGGCCCAAACUCCUACGGGAGGCAGCAGUAGGGAAUCUUCCACAAUGGACGAAAGUCUGAUGGAGCAACGCCGCGUGAGUGAAGAAGGGUUUCGGCUCGUAAAGCUCUGUUGGUAGUGAAGAAAGAUAGAGGUAGUAACUGGCCUUUAUUUGACGGUAAUUACUUAGAAAGUCACGGCUAACUACGUGCCAGCAGCCGCGGUAAUACGUAGGUGGCAAGCGUUGUCCGGAUUUAUUGGGCGUAAAGCGAGUGCAGGCGGUUCAAUAAGUCUGAUGUGAAAGCCUUCGGCUCAACCGGAGAAUUGCAUCAGAAACUGUUGAACUUGAGUGCAGAAGAGGAGAGUGGAACUCCAUGUGUAGCGGUGGAAUGCGUAGAUAUAUGGAAGAACACCAGUGGCGAAGGCGGCUCUCUGGUCUGCAACUGACGCUGAGGCUCGAAAGCAUGGGUAGC
RNAcentral lists this ribosomal RNA (782 nucleotides) under uncultured bacterium. RNAcentral describes it as "bacterial SSU rRNA". It matches the Rfam family "Bacterial small subunit ribosomal RNA", at positions 28 to 769 of the family's 1533-position model. The record is from RNAcentral.